Xiphophorus couchianus (Monterrey platyfish) is the source of this 642-nucleotide long non-coding RNA. RefSeq lists it as uncharacterized. The transcript is spliced from 4 exons. The record is from RefSeq and is a predicted model, not a curated record. NCBI's taxonomy places the organism in Eukaryota, Metazoa, Chordata, Actinopteri, Cyprinodontiformes, Poeciliidae.
CGCCGUAGCAACAGCCUGGUAAACAUAAACACGGAGGAGUUGGCCGGCGGAGCGAGGAAAGGAGGUCAGCGCCCGACCCGAGAGUUUUACUUACAGAGUUAAUAAUGAACGAAAGUUUUGUGGAAACGGCCGGCAGGUGAGAGCGCUACCUGCCAUGACAUCAGCCAAGAAAAACUCAAACAGUCGGACCAGUUGGGGCAGCACACGUGAGAAAUGGUGACAAAGUAUUUAUUGUUCUCCUGCAGACUGAACCUUUGACCCAGUUCACUUUAUUCGCCGUCAGCUGGGAUUUUCACCGGAAGCACCUGGUGAGGUCAGCAGCAGGUGAACCAGCUGGACCUCAGAGGGAAACAUCCACAGGCUCGUUCCCUGCAGCAGCCAAUGACGUCGCCUUCAUCCUUUCCGGGAAGCGGAGCCGUUCGUCCCGUUGCCGGGUUACCGGGAAGGCUCGCCUCAUCAUCAUCAUCAGCUUUCAUUUCAUUAGCGGAGCGUUUCCAGCAGAACACGGCCGGUCCGAUUCCCAGCCGGACCGGACUGGGCCGAAGGCGGGAUCCGACCCGGAAUCAGCCUGGAGGAAAACCUCAGCUAAAACUGACUUUACCCAGUUCAUCUGACCCCAGGGUCAAAGGUCACAUUUAUUCA